Molecule: ribosomal RNA, 571 nt
Filed under: Colletotrichum viniferum
Lineage: Eukaryota; Fungi; Ascomycota; Sordariomycetes; Glomerellales; Glomerellaceae
Description: eukaryotic LSU rRNA
Rfam family: 5.8S ribosomal RNA (bases 219-372)
Source: RNAcentral
AAGUCGUAACAAGGUCUCCGUUGGUGAACCAGCGGAGGGAUCAUUACUGAGUUUACGCUCUAUAACCCUUUGUGAACAUACCUAUAACUGUUGCUUCGGCGGGUAGGGUCUCCGCGACCCUCCCGGCCUCCCGCCCCCGGGCGGGUCGGCGCCCGCCGGAGGAUAACCAAACUCUGAUUCAACGACGUUUCUUCUGAGUGGUACAAGCAAAUAAUCAAAACUUUUAACAACGGAUCUCUUGGUUCUGGCAUCGAUGAAGAACGCAGCGAAAUGCGAUAAGUAAUGUGAAUUGCAGAAUUCAGUGAAUCAUCGAAUCUUUGAACGCACAUUGCGCCCGCCAGCAUUCUGGCGGGCAUGCCUGUUCGAGCGUCAUUUCAACCCUCAAGCUCCGCUUGGUGUUGGGGCCCUACAGCUGAUGUAGGCCCUCAAAGGUAGUGGCGGACCCUCCCGGAGCCUCCUUUGCGUAGUAACUUUACGUCUCGCACUGGGAUCCGGAGGGACUCUUGCCGUAAAACCCCCCAAUUUUCCAAAGGUUGACCUCGGAUCAGGUAGGAAUACCCGCUGAACUUAA